GAGAGGGUGUCGCCUAAAACAUGCCAACCAGUCCGUAUGUGUCUCAGUUUAGAGAUGAUGGAGGACAUCGUGUGUUUAAUGAUCUGACAGCAGACUGCAGCAGGUGUGAAUCUCCCAGCAGGCCUGAGCAGAGGACAGCGUACGUGGAGACGCUGCUGUCGUCCCUCUCUGUCUCUCACUCGCUUCCUCUUUCUCUUCCCCUCCGAUGUGGCUGUGCUUUGAAGCCGGAGUGAGGAACUGUGCGAGCGACGCUUUCAAAGCGUCCGUGUCAUUUAGCUUGCUGACUUUGAGCAGGUCCUUACCCAGCCUCCAUCUCUCUCCACUUUCAAAGCCAGGCGUUGUGGGGGAGGAUCAGAGAGAGAGAGAGAGGGAGGAUGGAGGGGGGAGCUAGACGGAGGCGAGGCUUUACGGAAGAUCAGUCAGAUCCUCCUGACGCGUGGAUACUCUCGAUCGGGGGGCCUUCGGGCCAAAUGUGCAGAAUCUGCCGGCAUCUCUGCUCGGCGGCUGUCAGGGAGGAUCUGCUCGCAUGUUUGUCACCAGACGUUUGUGCGACGGCAGCCGGACAUGUUUCAGGCUCAGGGGACACAGAGAGGGAUUUAAUGCAACACUUUAGAAAUGAGAACUUGAUUUAUUUCCGUGGUGUUGCUGUUGGGCUGAUCGUGGAGGGCUCUGGUGUAUUACAGGUGCUAAAGAAUCCCUUUGGACGGCCUGCAUGUUCCAUCCAGCUCUUGGACAGAAAUCAUGAGAUGAAUGAAGACGGAUGAUCGGCACCGACUCCCAGAACAACAACAGAACCAGCGACAGGCGAGCAGACGGUCGUCGCACGGUCACAGUCUGGAUCGCUCUACGAUGAUAUCACCAAAAUAUCUGAGCUGUAAACGCUGGUGGUUUUAAAUAAUGACACUAUUGAUCACAGCCAGAAACUGUAAAUAUAGAAAUCAUUGUUGGAGUUUCUACUUUUCUGAUCAUGUGUGAUGAACACUUUCAACUUCAAACGGAGAUAUUGUUACUUUAACUUUAUUCUGAUUUAUUUCAGUUCCUUUACAAACAUUUUUGAUAUUAUAUUUAUUUCGGCACUGCUCGGCACAUAUUAUUACCCAUUUUCUGACAUUUUAUGUACCAAAAAUUCAUCAAUAAAUCAAGAAUCUCUGCGUGGCGGCUGGAUGCAGCCUGAUGUCACCCUGAUUAAACUCCAGCCUGUCUGUCGUACAGCAGCUCUGCAUUCGACUCUGGUCUAUUUCUGGAGCUGUUGCUGCAGAUAUGACUCUUUUUUUUCCUUCUUUCAAGCACAGAUUUCUUCCUGGAUGUAAAAAAACAACCUAUUGUUUCCUCCGGUGUCAUCUGUGGGUGUCUUUUCCUUAAAAUAUCCAUGAAGUUGUCGAAAGAAAAAUAGGUUCUACAGCAUUAUCAGCAUGUCUGUAACAUCCCUCUUUGGCUGAUUACUCUCUAAUAUGUGGAAAUGUAAUAAACACAGAAAAUAAUGUCAAACCUCCUUUAUUUGCUUAAUUAGGGUGGAUAAUAAGAUGCUAAUGGUCCCUGCCAAAUUAACUACCUUUGGUUUAACGUCAAUAAACCGAGUAUUAAUUGUAAAAUUAAGAUAUUUUCAUGUUUUUUUGGAUCACAUUCACUUUUUGCUCUUCACAGGUCAGCUGACAACAACCUGAAGAUGAUUUUGAACCAGAAAAUCAAACGGACUGAAAGACCUGACGGGUGACAGCAGGAGGACGACGACAGAAGCGUUUAAACUGCAGAAUUAAUGAUCCCUUUAAUUACUCCUGAGAGCUCCCCGGUGAAGAGGAGUCGCCGCUAACUGCCCACGACAAAGAGCCGACGCUCUGCGGCUGAGACGAAGAGCAGGAGGGCUGCAAAUAACUCCAGCUACCUGCUUUCAUGUCCGACACACAACAACCCCAUUGAGAAAUCAGUCGAGAAAACUCCCAUGAAGAACCCGAGCGUCGGCCCACCGCCUCGC
Molecule: long non-coding RNA, 1972 nt
Organism: Sparus aurata (gilthead seabream)
Lineage: Eukaryota; Metazoa; Chordata; Actinopteri; Spariformes; Sparidae
Source: Ensembl